UGAAUACGAGAUGCUACGGCGUCGAAGCAGUCUAUGUCAUACUUCCAAGAAAAGCUUGCACUGUCAUAAACAAAUAAUGCCUGUACCAUAACCGACACAGGUGGGUAGGUAGAGUAUACUAAGGGGCGCGAGAUAACUCCCUCUAAGGAACUCGGCAAAAUGACUCCGUAACUUCGGGAGAAGGAGUGCCUUAUUUAUAAGGUUGCAAUAACAAGAUCCAAGCAACUGUUUACCAAAAACACAGGUCUCCGCUAAGUCGUAAGACGAUGUAUGGGGGCUGACGCCUGCCCAGUGCCAGAAGGUUAAAGAAGUUGGUUAGCAUCCGCGAAGCUGAUAACUGAAGCCCUGGUGAACGGCGGCCGUAACAAUAACGGUCCUAAGGUAGCGAAAUUCCUUGUCGGGUAAGUUCCGACCCGCACGAAAGGCGUAAUGAUUUGGAUACUGUCUCGGAGAGGGGCUCGGUGAAAUAGACUUGUCUGUGAAGAUGCGGACUACCUGCACCAGGACAGAAAGACCCUAUGAAGCUUUACUGUAACCUGAAAUUGAAAUUGGACUUUACUUGCGCAGUAUAGGUGGGAGGCGUUGAGAAUAUUCUUGCGGGAUUAUUGGAGCCAUCAGUGAGAUACCACUCUUGUAAUGUUAGAUUUCUAACUUUGUAUCAUUAUCUGGUCAAAGAACAGUUUCAGGCGGGCGGUUUGACUGGGGCGGUCGCCUCCUAAACGGUAACGGAGGCGCACAAAGGUUUCCUCUGAACGGGUAGAAAUCGUAUCUAGAGUGUAAAGGCAUAAGGAAGCUUGACUGUGAGACCUACAAGUCGAGCAGGGACGAAAGUCGGUCUUAGUGAUCUGACGGUGCUGAGUGGAAAGGCCGUCACUCAACGGAUAAAAGUUACUCUAAGGAUAACAGGCUGAUCUCCCCCAAGAGUUCACAUCGACGGGGAGGUUUGGCACCUCGAUGUCGGCUCAUCGCAUCCUGGGGCGGUAGUACGUCCCAAGGGUUGGGCUGUUCGCCCAUGAAAGCGGUACGCGAGCUGGGUUCAGAACGUCGUGAGACAGUUCGGUCCAUAUCCGGUGUAGGCGUUAGAAUAUUGAGAGGAGCCUUCUUUAGUACGAGAGGACCGAGAAGGACAUACCUCUGGUGUACCAGUUAUCGUGCCAACGGUAAACGCUGGGUAGCUAUGUGUGGAGUGGAUAACCGCUGAAAGCAUCUAAGUGGGAAGCCCACCUCAAGAUAAGUAUUCUCA
RNAcentral lists this ribosomal RNA (1243 nucleotides) under metagenome. RNAcentral describes it as "bacterial LSU rRNA". It matches the Rfam family "Bacterial large subunit ribosomal RNA", at positions 1564 to 2816 of the family's 2925-position model. The record is from RNAcentral.